GGGUGUGUGGCACAACGGAUAUCGCGUCUGACUACAGAUCAGAAGAUUCCAGGUUCAAAACUUGGCACGCUCG
Molecule: transfer RNA, 73 nt
Filed under: Saccoglossus kowalevskii
Lineage: Eukaryota; Metazoa; Hemichordata; Enteropneusta; Harrimaniidae
Description: tRNA-Cys
Rfam family: tRNA
About the family: Transfer RNA (tRNA) molecules are approximately 80 nucleotides in length. Their secondary structure includes four short double-helical elements and three loops (D, anti-codon, and T loops).
Source: RNAcentral